UACGAAGGGUGCAAACGUUGCUCGGAAUUAUUGGGCGUAAAGCGCACGUAGGCGGCUUGGCAAGUCGGAUGUGAAAUCCCUCGGCUCAACCAAGGAAGUGCAUCCGAAACUGCUGAGCUUGAGUACUUAAGAGGAUCGCGGAAUUCCCGGUGUAGAGGUGAAAUUCGUAGAUAUCAGGAGGAACACCAGUGGCGAAGGCGGCUCUCUGGGCAGAUACUGACGCUGAGACGCGAAAGCGUGGGUAGCAAACAGG
RNAcentral lists this ribosomal RNA (253 nucleotides) under uncultured bacterium. RNAcentral describes it as "partial 16S ribosomal RNA". It matches the Rfam family "Bacterial small subunit ribosomal RNA", at positions 524 to 776 of the family's 1533-position model. The record is from RNAcentral.